Molecule: long non-coding RNA, 2480 nt
Organism: Beta vulgaris subsp. vulgaris (sugar beet)
Lineage: Eukaryota; Viridiplantae; Streptophyta; Magnoliopsida; Caryophyllales; Amaranthaceae
Exons: 3
Source: RefSeq, a predicted model, not a curated record
AUCACAAAUUCACAAGUAGCACAACCAAACAAUGUAAAUAUUACCUAAAAAAUUGACACUAAAUCUUAGGAUUUUGAAAAAAAAAACUUACAACCACUAGUGAGUGGUGACGUGACUGGGCGACAUGGGCGUCGGGGUCAGCAACUUGCCCUGCCGUGACUGACGUGAUCGCGUGAGGCGUCCUGCGACUGUACUGGUAAUGUGACUCGUCGACUUGUCGUUCACUCGUUCCUCAAAUCUCCUUCAUUUGUUUGGAUGGGUAAUAUCGCUACUAGAAUCCGGCUUUUUACCGACCACUUUUACCGACCGUCCAAUGAUACGGUUGGUAAUUAUUAAAAAACCGACCGUUUCCAAAGUGGACGUUGAAUACCAACGGUUUUUAUUAAUCACCGACCGCUAUAUUUAUCUGUAGGUAAUUACCUACCGUUUUAAUUAAACACCGACUGCGUUUUUUGCCGUAGGUAGUUUCCGACCGAUUUUCGGAUAUCACCAACCGCGCGACCGUCGGUAAAUUACUACUAGUAAUUUCGGAAAUAUUAACACCCACGUUUCCCGGCCUUUUCACUCUAUAGCAAUCAGUAAAUUAAAAAAUAACCCUAACAUUCCCUUGGAGAAACCGACGUCUCCUUCUCCCUUCACCAUCAUCGUUGCCGGUAUUCCUUCAUCUCCACAGUGUUGUUGUCGCCGGUUUCAGUUCUCUUGUGCACCUGCCGCAUCACCCUCGCAAUGGGUCAACUGCACAACCACCGCGCGCGCGCACCGUCGUUUCUUGGUUUGUUUCGCCAAUCCACAAUAGGUUUUCUCUUCUUCCCUAUUAUUUGGUCUAUUUUGAAUUUCAUGAAUUUCUUGGUAUAUUCACUCAACUUUUCGGUUAAUUGGUCAUAAAAAAUAACAUGAAUGGUAUAAAUAUAUAAAUAAUGAUCAUUCAAGAGCUUGAGAAAUUGGAAAAAUGAUAUAUACCUGAUUGAAGAAGAUCAAGAAGGUAUCAGUAAUAAAAAGCUUUCAUUCUGGUUGAGUAAAAAGUCAGACAAACGAAACUAGAACUGAAUUGCGUGUGUUGAAUUGGUGAAUGAAACUAGAACUGAAGAAAACUACUUUUGAAGGAUGAGUUUGUUUACUUAGCUGAGGCCUUUCAUGGUCUGUUAUGUUCUGUUAUCAUUAUGUGAUUUUGUCAUCUUAGAUGAGUGAAUAUGAUUUCAUCUUGCGUCUCGUGUAUAUGAUUGGCCACCAUUCUAGUUUCUUUGCAAUUUCAUGGAUUUCAUCUUAGUUGAGUGAAUUAUGUUUAAUCUCAUGGUUUUGUUAUGUUCUUUUGUCAUGAAUAUAUGAUUUGAUCAUCUUAUUUGAGUGAAUAUGGGCACUAUGUGUAAUUACAUAAAGUUUAAGAUCACUUGAUAUAAAACUUUUUUUGCCCUGCCAGAGAAUAGAAAAAUGCAAACUAAAAAGCUACCAUGUAGAAUUUUCCUUAAAUAAAGGUAAGAAUGGUCACUGGUGAAAUAUUCCUUUCAGACAUAAGAUAAAGUAUGGCAUAUAACAAAAUCAAAGCAAACUACAUAACACAGGUUUGCUAUUAGUGACAACUUAAAUACAAAUUCUUAUAUGUUACGCUUUACACCAUUGUUUGAUGUGUAACUCUGAGAUGGAAUAAUAUUUAUGCUUUAAUAACCUCGCAUAUAACCAUUUGUAUGUUUAUAACAGUAGGUUCUUGUCAAUACUUGAAUGAGAUUACUAAUGAAAAGCUAUAGAGGGAUUACUUAACAGUACAUAUCUUAAUGACAUUACUAAUGGAGUUACAUGCAUCAACAUUUGUGAUGCGCCAGACUUAUUAAAUGUGUAAGCACAAAUCCAAAUGACACAAUGUUCAACUAUAUGGUAGAGGCAGCUAGAAUUACUUUAGUUACCAAUUGCAUGGUUCUUAAAGUUUAAUGUAGUGAACGACGAUGUUGAUGUUAGAGUUUGUUAGUAAUAUUGUUUUAAUUGAGAUGUGUAGAAUUGAGUAUCAUGAAGCGAAGAGAGCGUAGUUAGAUGUAUGAUAGGCAUGAGGGACGCUUUCUCAAGACUGAGUUUAUGAAUGGAAGGUGUUGUGGAACCUGGACAUUGUCAAGGUUCAAUUUCUACGGCCGAGUAUGCAAGAAGGAUGGCUGCAAAGAAUGGAGGAGUCUUGCCAAAAGCUGUUGAUAUUUACUGGGAGACACAUUCAAAGGAACGACAAUCAGGCCAAGACGAGCAACUCAUUGGAUCCAAAUGAUGACCCACGUGACCCACGCGAUCCUCUUGGUGGUGGAUUGGGAUUUCCUUGUAGUACUUAGACUUAUAGCCUUUUAUUAGUAUAUAAUAUAUAUAUUUUGAGAAAAAUGAUGUUUAAUUUAGGUUGUUGGAACUACUAUUAGAUCUAAGAUCUAUAUUGUGGAGAAUAUGAUGUUUAAUAUAAGUUGUACCAAACCUAUUAUUUUGAUAUGGAAUGAAGAAUUAGUUUAUUAUAA